Manis javanica (Malayan pangolin) is the source of this 2543-nucleotide non-coding RNA. The record is from RefSeq and is a predicted model, not a curated record. Lineage: Eukaryota; Metazoa; Chordata; Mammalia; Pholidota; Manidae.
UGUCCGGGGGGCAGCCGGGGUGACGGCGGGAGGCGCAGCUGGGAGCGCGAGGGGCGGGGAGCGGGGCCCGGGCCCUCCGCUUUGCUGGCUCGGGGACUGUUGAAAGGGGCUUCCUUUAGGUGAAUGAGAGGCUUGCUUUUUCUGGGGACGCUGGCAGUUGGAGACGAGAGGAGGGCACGACCGCGGUUUUUCCUUCCCGGUGGAACUGUAAUUGUGCAGGAAAACAGGCGCCAGGCGCGCCGGGCCCGCCGCCCACCCUGGGACCCUCCCUACGCCAGGGCUCCGCCGGGGCCCUCCGAGCCUCGGCCGCCUGCCGCGCCGCCCGGGGAGGCCGCAGGGUGAGAGGCCCGCGUGCUGACGCGCCCGGAGCGGUUGGCCGCGAGCUCGGGGUCCUGGGUCCGGGGCGCCAGGCCCUCUCAGUCCGGGGGUCCAGCCUGCAGCGGGGCUGCCGCCGGAGCCGAACAGGUUCUGGGGCCACGGUAGCUGCUGUUCCAGAAAGGGUGACACGGUGAGGCUCCUGCCUCAGGGAAAUCUCGCGCGCAAACACCAGUGGUUCUGCAGCGCUUGUAUUUCAGGGCGGUUGGAGUAUUUCCAUUUAUAGCGCAUCCGCCCUGGUCAGCGGCCUCUGUCGUAGUCCCUGCAGUUUAGUGCAGCGAGAAGAGGUACCGCUGGGGACUUGGCUGCUUUGCGCAAGGCAGUGGUAGGACAGGCUCUGCGCACGUCCGUAGCCUGGGCUGUCACGGCUGGAGGGGGAGUAUUCGUGUAAAGCCCCGAACAGUGUUCUUAAAGGUCAGCAUCGAUUCCAGUGGGAAUUGCUCGGCUUGGCAGGGGGACCAACAAUCGAGUACCCGAAAGGCACCGAGCGCCUGCAGUGCGGCCCCUCAGGCUGCAGAGCGGCGGCGGUGGUGCUGGAGCGAACUCGGCAGGCUCGGGGCUGCGGGUGGCGGUGGCCUCCGUGGGGCGGCGCCCCAACCCCGUCCCAUCAGGACUCCAAGCCCUGCCCCAGCCUGGGCUAUGGCCCGGUGCCCAGAGCCCGCGGAAGCUGUCAGGAAGAGCAGGCAAGUGCAGGGUGACAGAGGUCCAGGGUCCCUAAAAUGGGGACUGUGUGCCAAGUCCGGCUGAUUGUCCUGUAAAUAAAGCUUUAUUGGAACAGGUUCCUCUCCCUGUUAUCUGGCAGUGACAGAAACCAUGCGUGCGCCAAGCCCAUCUGGCCCUUCCCCCCGUUACGGUUCCACCUGUUCCCCGGGCUGUGGGGUGCUCCUGUAUCCAUAUCCUAAGUUCCUCGUCUUACUUAAGACCCAAGUAGGUUUCCAAGUAGGUUUCUGUUUUGUAAAAUCGAAAAUGCCCUGAGGAGUUUUUACUUACUUUGUAAGCUCUCUGAGGAGGAAAAGGCUGGGUUCGAAACUGUACGUGAAGAUGCUCUGCUCUUUCCACCUGCGUGAAAAAGGUUAUCUCUGGGAGCUUGUAUGCAGCACAGAGUGUGAGCAGCCCAGGACCCAACAGUGGCCGGGUGGAGCUGAGACCCAGACUGAACUGGUGGAAGAGGAAUGAGGGCAGAACGCAGACUGGGAUGGCAGGAACCAUACUAACCAAUCCCUGAAGUGGAUGGAACUUUCAGCAUUCAUGUUUAAGGACUGGAGGAAAAUCACAAAGCCAGGACGUUUCACUGCGUCAUCCUGCUCCUGACAUCAAGGCUGUAACGGAUGCUGACCCCACACAGGACUCCUCCAGCCCCUGUGGAACAGGUGUCCUCCACGGACUAGCAGCAGAGCUUCCGCAAGUGACAGGACAGCAGAGAGGCCGGAGGGACCGUGGAGGUCAUCAGGCCAAUGUGCAAUGCCACCGGAGGAGGAGCCUUAUCAAUGGGUAACAGGCCAGAUCUCACACAGUCAAAUGUGUUUGAAGGGCCUCAAGCAGAACUACCACGAAGCCAAGAGUCCUGGCCCCAGACUUCCACAGCCCAUAAGAUGCAUACUUGGUUUCCGUCAACAGACCUGAUCAGCGUUUGUCGUGUUGAAACAGAGAUGUUCUGUGCAGAGCGCUACCAAUAAGGAAGUGGAAGUUCUCCAAACAUGAACUCACUCCAUCCAGUGCCCCACUGCUGCUCUGAAAUCCUGGGGUCCCGGGGCGUAGUUCCCAGGCUGUGUAGGUCAAGUGGACGUUGGACGCCAGGUGGCCCUGGCAUCGGGAGCUGGCCAGGGAUCCCCCCCACCCUGAGCAAUUCAGUGAGCUUCCCUCUCCUCCCCUGAUCCUCCUCUCUCUCCCCUGCCUGCGCAGCUGCUGACAUUGGCUCCUACUCUUGCUUUAAUGAAUUCCUUCCUUGCUGGCACUUGUUUGACCUGACAGAGAAUCCUUUCCUGAUCGGAGUCAAGAACCCUCCCCCAUCCCAGUUGACGUUUCACCUAGUGGUCAGGGAGAGACCUGCCCAGACGCAGCUGCUCAGCUGCACAGUGAUCUGUGACCAGUGAUUAUGACUCACUGAAAGCUCAGAUAAUGGUUAGCCCUUUUUAGCAAUACAGUAGAUUUUAAUAAAGGUGUGUGCA